UUUUUUCUUUUUUUUUUUCUCGCCCAGAAUUCCACAGAAAGAAGCGAUCCUGAAAGAGGGAUGACCAAGAAGCCACUAAACAAGAAUAGAAAAGAAU
RNAcentral lists this non-coding RNA (97 nucleotides) under Crypthecodinium cohnii. Lineage: Eukaryota; Dinophyceae; Gonyaulacales; Crypthecodiniaceae. The record is from RNAcentral.